Molecule: long non-coding RNA, 1408 nt
Filed under: Eucalyptus grandis
Lineage: Eukaryota; Viridiplantae; Streptophyta; Magnoliopsida; Myrtales; Myrtaceae
Description: long non-coding RNA (EGRA_LNC006118)
Source: RNAcentral
AUAACUCAAUUCUUAAUUUUUCUGUGCAAAAACAAAGGUCAGAGACCAGUGUAAACUGCAACAAAAAAAAAAACGAAGGUCAUAGACCAGUGUAAACUGCAAUUUCUUGGGUUUCCUUAGCAUUUAUAGACUCCUACAAGAUUACCCUCACUUGAAGGAAAAAUUUUCACCCAAAGCACACUUGCCCUCAUCGUGCCUCCCUACGUAAUCUUCUUCUCCCAAUCCAAGGUCUCGCAACUCCUUUCUUCAAUGACCUCAACUCUCCUUCCGCCAGGGCUCUCGCUCACGAUUCUACGGGUAAUCAGCUGCAAUUUUAACAGUAAUUUCAAGGGAUUGGGGUUAGGGAUUGCUUCUUGGCCCUAAUUUUACCCCAACUAGUCAAUUUGGGAAAGAACUAAGGCCAGCGAGUCAUUUUUAUUGAUUGGAUUUAUCCGGCAAGCCAUGUCAACAGAUAAAUAAUAAAUUAACGCUAUGUCGGAAUUUUUCGGUAAUGAAAAUCUUCAUGACACUUAAGUAAUUUUAUUUUUAUUUUUUUCAUAAAGAGGUUCUCAAGUGCUUGCUCAAGAAGUUUUGACAAUGAAGUGCCCGUCGUACAAAAUUUAUGGCAUUUCUUAUGUCCUUUCCCCUAUUAAGGUAUAACAUGGAGGAAUGAAGGGAUACGUCACCACACAAUCAAAUGUGAAGUUAUCUAUUGUCUUAAGUUUGCUGAGAUGCUGUAAUUUAACAUGUAAGAGGAAAUCACAAGUUGAAUUAGAUAAUCGUGAUUGGGUGUUCAUCUCUAACACUACCUAUUUAGCAUGGCGGUGGCGGUACACUUACUGGAAAUUGAACAGUUAUGUCUUCAACUAAAGAUUCACACGAGACUUAUGUCUUCAACUGCAAAGUUUAGGAGAACGCAGAAGUUCUAAUGAAAGAAAGCUUACGGAAGGUCCGGACCUCCGGUCACCCCACAUGCUGUUCCAAAAAAGGAAAGGAGAACUUAGGCUUAUUUGUACCUGUUAGCAUAUACCAUAUAUUAUGACAAGUAAGCCGAGCCUUUAAAAGAAAUAUUCAUAGUGAACACAUAAGGUGGUGAUUAUUUGGGGUGAACAUUACCUGAAAUAUCAUAGGACCUUGCCCAUCUUAUGCGAGACUUGACGUGUUACGAGAUAAGUGUUGAAAACUUGAAAUUCCACAUUUACCUUGCGAGGGAAGCACCAUCACAGUCAAAUCCCAGAGCGGCCAAUUCAAUGAAGCGGGUUGAUUCCAUCUCAUCAUUUUCCACUCUCCGGCGUGCCAUGUCUAUGGCCAAACGCUCCUUCAGUUUAGCUAGAUGUGACUUGCGUCUGGCCUCUUAAUUGCAGAUGGCGAAGCACAUCUUCACGACUUGCCAAGUCGACAAAUCUGGGGUCCGCAAUGCUCUACGUCU